This 1057-nucleotide long non-coding RNA is filed under the name Anas platyrhynchos platyrhynchos (common mallard). Its description in RNAcentral is "lncRNA (ENSAPLG00000025722.1)". Lineage: Eukaryota; Metazoa; Chordata; Aves; Anseriformes; Anatidae. The record is from RNAcentral.
AUACCAUCAUUUCAAGAAAAGGAAAUUCACAUCCACUCAUUUCAAACAUGCUGAAUGUAUCAUAAACACUGCUUACCUUCAGCUAACAGUACAGGAGGGCUGGAGUUUGGGAUAACAGAUGACACCAAGCUGGUGGGAAGUGUCGAUCUGCCAGAGGAUAGAAAGGCCCUGCAGAGGAACCUGGACAAGUUGGAUCGACGGGCAGAGGCCAAUGGGAUGAAGUUGAACAUGGAUAAGUGCUGGGUCAUGCACUUUGGCCACAAUUAUCCCAUGCAGUGCUGCAGGCUUGGGGCAGAGUAUCUUGAAAACUGUGCAGAGGAAAAGGAUCUGGGGGUGUUGGUCAAUGCUCUCCUGAACAUGAGCUGGCGGUGUGCCCAGGUGGACAAGAAGGCCAAUAGCAUCCUGGCUUGUAUCAGGAAUAGUGAAACCAGCAGGACCAGGGAGGUGAUUGUUCCCAUGUACUUUGCUCUGGUGAGGCCGAGUACUGUGUUCAGUUUCGGGCCCCUCAGUCCAAGAAGGCCAUUGAGGCCCUGGAACACAUCCAGAGAAGGCCCACACAGCUGGUGGAGGGUCUGGAACACAAGUCCUAUGAGGAAUGGCUGAGGGAACUGGGGGUGUUUAGUCUGGAGAAGAGGAGGCUCAGGGGAGAGAGACCUUAUUGCUCUCUACAGCCACCUGAAAGGACGUUGUAGGGAGCUGGGGGUUGGCCUCUUCUCACAGAUAACUAGUGAUAGGACUAGAGGGAAAGGCCUCAAGUUGCACCAGGGGACGUUCAGGUUGGAAAUGAGGAGACAUUUCUUCUCAGAAAGAGCAGUCAGGCAUUAGAAUGGGUUGCCCAGGGAGGUGGUGGCAUCACCGUCCCCAAGGGUGUUCAAGAAAAGGUUGGAUGUGGUACACAGGGACAUGGUUUAGUGGGUGAUAUAGAUGCUACGGGGAUGGUUAGACAAAACAAUCUUGGAGGUCUUUUCCAACGUUAAUGAUUCUAUGCAAGGAUGUGUAUCGGCUAACAUCACUAAAACUUUACCUGUGUUUAAUAAAUUACAACAAAUUCACUACA